This 2277-nucleotide ribosomal RNA is filed under the name Zea mays subsp. mays (maize). RNAcentral describes it as "eukaryotic LSU rRNA". The stretch from base 377 to 2277 matches the Rfam family "Eukaryotic large subunit ribosomal RNA", at positions 1 to 1863 of the family's 3401-position model. Lineage: Eukaryota; Viridiplantae; Streptophyta; Magnoliopsida; Poales; Poaceae. The record is from RNAcentral.
ACUCUCGGCAACGGAUAUCUCGGCUCUCGCAUCGAUGAAGAACGUAGCAAAAUGCGAUACCUGGUGUGAAUUGCAGAAUCCCGCGAACCAUCGAGUUUUUGAACGCAAGUUGCGCCCGAAGCCUUCUGGCGGAGGGCACGUCUGCCUGGGCGUCACGCCAAAAGACACUCCCAACACCCCCCCGCGGGGCGAGGGACGUGGCGUCUGGCCCCCCGCGCCGCAGGGCGAGGUGGCCCGAAGCAGGGGCUGCCGGCGAACCGCGCCGAACGCAGCACGUGGUGGGCGACAUCAAGUUGUUCUCGGUGCAGUGUCCCGGCGCGCGGCCGGCCAUUCGGCCCUAAGGACCCAUCGAGCGACCGAGCUUGCCCUCGGACCGCGACCCCAGGUCAGUCGGGACUACCCGCUGAGUUUAAGCAUAUAAAUAAGCGGAGGAGAAGAAACUUACGAGGAUUCCCCUAGUAACGGUGAGCGAACCGGGAGCAGCCCAGCUUGAGAAUCGGGCGGCCUCGCCGCCCGAAUUGUAGUCUGGAGAGGCGUCCUCAGCGACGGACCGGGCCCAAGUUCUCUGGAAAGGGACGCCUGGGAGGGUGAGAGCCCCGUCCGGCCCGGACCCUGUCGCACCACGAGGCGCCGUCAACGAGUCGGGUUGUUUGGGAAUGCAGCCCAAAUCGGGCGGUAAACUCCGUCCAAGGCUAAAUACAGGCGAGAGACCGAUAGCGAACAAGUACCGUGAGGGAAAGAUGAAAAGGACUUUGAAAAGAGAGUCAAAGAGUGCUUGAAAUUGCCGGGAGGGAAGCGGAUGGGGGCUGGCGACGCGCACCGGCCGUAUGCGGAACGGCUCCUGCUGGUCCGCCGAUCGGCUCGGGGCGUGGACCGUUGUCGCCGGCGGCCAAAGCCCGGGGGCCCUAGGCGCCCCCGGCAGCCGUCGUCGGCACGGACGGUAUCCGCGCGCCUCUGGCGCGCCCCUCGGGGCGCUGCGCCGCAACGGCCUGCGAGCUCCCCAUCCGACCCGUCUUGAAACACGGACCAAGGAGUCUGACAUGCGUGCGAGUCGACGGGUUCAGAAACCUGAGAUGCGCAAGGAAGCUGACGAGCGGGAGGCCCUCACGAGCCGCACCGCUGGCCGGCCCUGAUCUUCUGUGAAGGGUUCGAGUUGGAGCACGCCUGUCGGGACCCGAAAGAUGGUGAACUAUGCUUGAGCGGGGUGAAGCCAGAGGAAACUCUGGUGGAGGCUCGAAGCGAUACUGACGUGCAAAUCGUUCGUCUGACUUGGGUAUAGGGGCGAAAGACUAAUCGAACCAUCUAGUAGCUGGUUCCCUCCGAAGUUUCCCUCAGGAUAGCUGGAGCCCACACGAGUUCUAUCGGGUAAAGCCAAUGAUUAGAGGCAUCGGGGGCGCAACGCCCUCGACCUAUUCUCAAACUUUAAAUAGGUAGGACGGCGCGGCUGCUUCGGUGAGCCGUGCCACGGAAUCGGGAGCUCCAAGUGGGCCAUUUUUGGUAAGCAGAACUGGCGAUGCGGGAUGAACCGGAAGCCGGGUUACGGUGCCAAACUGCGCGCUAACCUAGAACCCACAAAGGGUGUUGGUCGAUUAAGACAGCAGGACGGUGGUCAUGGAAGUCGAAAUCCGCUAAGGAGUGUGUAACAACUCACCUGCCGAAUCAACUAGCCCCGAAAAUGGAUGGCGCUGAAGCGCGCGACCCACACCCGGCCAUCUGGGCGAACGCCAUGCCCCGAUGAGUAGGGGGGCGCGGCGGCCGCUGCAAAACCCGGGGCGCGAGCCUGGGCGGAGCGGCCGUCGGUGCAGAUCUUGGUGGUAGUAGCAAAUAUUCAAAUGAGAACUUUGAAGGCCGAAGAGGAGAAAGGUUCCAUGUGAACGGCACUUGCACAUGGGUAAGCCGAUCCUAAGGGACGGGGUAACCCCGGCAGACAGCGCGAUCUCGCGUGUUGCCCGAAAGGGAAUCGGGUUAAGAUUUCCCGAGCCGGGACGUGGCGGUUGACGGCGACGUUAGGAAGUCCGGAGACGCCGGCGGGGGCCUCGGGAAGAGUUAUCUUUUCUGCUUAACGGCCUGCCAACCCUGGAAUCGGUUCAGCCGGAGGUAGGGUCCAGCGGUCGGAAGAGCACCGCACGUCGCGCGGUGUCCGGUGCGCCCCCGUCCGGCCCGGACCCUGCCGCACCACGAGGCGCCGUCAACGAGUCGGGUUGUUUGGGAAUGCAGCCCAAAUCGGGCGGUAAACUCCGUCCAAGGCUAAAUACAGGCGAGAGACCGAUAGCGAAC